AGAGUUUGAUCAUGGCUCAGGAUGAACGCCGGCGGUGUGCCUAAUACAUGCAAGUCGAACGCGUUGGCCCAAUUGAUUGAUGGUGCUUGCACCUGAUUGAUUUUGGUCGCCAACGAGUGGCGGACGGGUGAGUAACACGUAGGUAACCUGCCCAGAAGCGGGGGACAACAUUUGGAAACAGAUGCUAAUACCGCAUAACAGCGUUGUUCGCAUGAACAACGCUUAAAAGAUGGCUUCUCGCUAUCACUUCUGGAUGGACCUGCGGUGCAUUAGCUUGUUGGUGGGGUAAUGGCCUACCAAGGCGAUGAUGCAUAGCCGAGUUGAGAGACUGAUCGGCCACAAUGGGACUGAGACACGGCCCAUACUCCUACGGGAGGCAGCAGUAGGGAAUCUUCCACAAUGGGCGCAAGCCUGAUGGAGCAACACCGCGUGAGUGAAGAAGGGUUUCGGCUCGUAAAGCUCUGUUGUUAAAGAAGAACACGUAUGAGAGUAACUGUUCAUACGUUGACGGUAUUUAACCAGAAAGUCACGGCUAACUACGUGCCAGCAGCCGCGGUAAUACGUAGGUGGCAAGCGUUAUCCGGAUUUAUUGGGCGUAAAGAGAGUGCAGGCGGUUUUCUAAGUCUGAUGUGAAAGCCUUCGGCUUAACCGGAGAAGUGCAUCGGAAACUGGAUAACUUGAGUGCAGAAGAGGGUAGUGGAACUCCAUGUGUAGCGGUGGAAUGCGUAGAUAUAUGGAAGAACACCAGUGGCGAAGGCGGCUACCUGGUCUGCAACUGACGCUGAGACUCGAAAGCAUGGGUAGCGAACAGGAUUAGAUACCCUGGUAGUCCAUGCCGUAAACGAUGAGUGCUAGGUGUUGGAGGGUUUCCGCCCUUCAGUGCCGGAGCUAACGCAUUAAGCACUCCGCCUGGGGAGUACGACCGCAAGGUUGAAACUCAAAGGAAUUGACGGGGGCCCGCACAAG
This 966-nucleotide ribosomal RNA is filed under the name Limosilactobacillus fermentum. RNAcentral describes it as "bacterial SSU rRNA". It matches the Rfam family "Bacterial small subunit ribosomal RNA", at positions 8 to 929 of the family's 1533-position model. Lineage: Bacteria; Bacillati; Bacillota; Bacilli; Lactobacillales; Lactobacillaceae. The record is from RNAcentral.